UAUGGAGGAUGCAAGCGUUAUCCGGAAUGAUUGGGCGUAAAGCGUCCGCAGGUGGCUGUGUAAGUCUGCUGUCAAAGAGCGAAGCUCAACUUCGUAAAGGCAGUGGAAACUACACGGCUAGAGUGCGUUCGGGGCAGAGGGAAUUCCUGGUGUAGCGGUGAAAUGCGUAGAGAUCAGGAAGAACACCGGUGGCGAAGGCGCUCUGCUAGGCCGCAACUGACACUGAGGGACGAAAGCUAGGGGAGCGAAUGGG
This 253-nucleotide ribosomal RNA is filed under the name uncultured bacterium. Its description in RNAcentral is "partial 16S ribosomal RNA". It matches the Rfam family "Bacterial small subunit ribosomal RNA", at positions 524 to 776 of the family's 1533-position model. The record is from RNAcentral.